CACACCGCCCGUCACAUCACGAAAGUUAGUUGCUCUUGAAGUCGUCCGGCCAACCGCAAGGAGGCAGACGCCGACGGAGUGACUGGCGAUUGGGGUG
This 97-nucleotide ribosomal RNA is filed under the name uncultured bacterium. RNAcentral's name for it is "partial 16S ribosomal RNA". It matches the Rfam family "Bacterial small subunit ribosomal RNA", at positions 1386 to 1482 of the family's 1533-position model. The record is from RNAcentral.